RNAcentral lists this ribosomal RNA (908 nucleotides) under Paraisaria coenomyiae. RNAcentral's name for it is "partial large subunit ribosomal RNA". It matches the Rfam family "Eukaryotic large subunit ribosomal RNA", at positions 40 to 962 of the family's 3401-position model. Lineage: Eukaryota; Fungi; Ascomycota; Sordariomycetes; Hypocreales; Ophiocordycipitaceae. The record is from RNAcentral.
AUAUCAAUAAGCGGAGGAAAAGAAACCAACAGGGAUUGCCCCAGUAACGGCGAGUGAAGCGGCAGCAGCUCAAAUUUGAAAUCUGGCCCCCCGCCCGCGGGGGCCCGAGUUGUAAUUUGCAGAGGAUGCUUCCGGCGCGGCGCCCUCCCGAGUUCCCUGGAACGGGACGCCGCAGAGGGUGAGAGCCCCGUACGGUCGGGCGCCCAGCCACUGUGAAGCUCCCUCGACGAGUCGAGUAGUUUGGGAAUGCUGCUCUAAACGGGAGGUAUAUGUCUUCUAAAGCUAAAUACCGGCCAGAGACCGAUAGCGCACAAGUAGAGUGAUCGAAAGAUGAAAAGCACUUUGGAAAGAGAGUUAAAGAGCACGUGAAAUUGUUGAAAGGGAAGCGCUCGCGACCAGACUUGGGCCCCGGGGGAUCAUCCGGCGUUCUCGCCGGUGCACUCCGCCGGGCCCAGGCCAGCAUCAGCCCGCCGCGGGGGACAAAGGCGCCGGGAACGUGGCUCCCCACNGGGAGUGUUAUAGCCCGGCGCGCAAUGCGCCGCGCGCGGGCUGAGGCACGCGCUCCGCAAGGAUGCUGGCGUAAUGGUCCCCAGCGACCCGUCUUGAAACACGGACCAAGGAGUCGUCCUCGUAUGCGAGUGUUCGGGCGUCAAACCCCUACGCGCAAUGAAAGUGAGCGGCAGGUGAGAGCUUCGGCGCAUCAUCGACCGAUCCCGACGGGCCCCCCAGAGGGAUUUGAGUAGGAGCAUACGGGGCCGGACCCGAAAGAAGGUGAACUAUGCCUGCGUAGGGUGAAGCCAGAGGAAACUCUGGUGGAGGCUCGCAGCGGUUCUGACGUGCAAAUCGAUCGUCAAACGUGGGCAUGGGGGCGAAAGACUAAUCGAACCUUCUAGUAGCUGGUUUCCGCC